Triticum aestivum (bread wheat) is the source of this 223-nucleotide non-coding RNA. The record is from Rfam. NCBI's taxonomy places the organism in Eukaryota, Viridiplantae, Streptophyta, Magnoliopsida, Poales, Poaceae.
GUGCUACUCCCUCCGUCCGAAAAAGCUUGCCCCAAGCUUGUCUCUCAAAUCGAUGUAUCUAGUCCGAAAAAGCUUGUCCCUCAAAUGGAUGUAUCUAGCGCCAAGUUAGUGAUACUAACUUGGCGCUAGAUACAUCCAUUUGAGGGACAAGCUUUUUCGGACUAGAUACAUCUAUUUGAGAGACAAGCUUGGGACAAGCUUUUUCGGACGGAGGGAGUAUGUU